GAUACAAUAGCAAUGUACUUCUCUGGAAUCCUGUCUCUCGGCAAGGUUCCGAAGAACAAGGGAUUCUUACUAGAUUGAGCUCCAGCAUACGAAGUCGGGUCAACAUGUAACAUCCAUUUUGGAUGCUCUAGAAAUGCGCAAAACAGGUACAAGAGUAAGUGAGAAUCAGUUGGUAGUUCGUGAGUCCAUUUCUUGUUCUUUUUAUCGUAAACAUCCCCAUUUCCUUGAUACUCGUAAUUCUUCAAACAGGUUCCAUCAGCAAGUUCUGUGCAAACAAAUAGUGAUUCCGUAAUUUAGGUACACUGAAAAGUCUACCAAUGCAAAACAGAAACUGAACAUUAAAGGGACUGUUGAAAAUACCUCGAAUUCUU
This 371-nucleotide long non-coding RNA is filed under the name Gossypium barbadense (sea-island cotton). RNAcentral's name for it is "long non-coding RNA (GBAR_LNC022785)". The record is from RNAcentral. Lineage: Eukaryota; Viridiplantae; Streptophyta; Magnoliopsida; Malvales; Malvaceae.